RNAcentral lists this ribosomal RNA (490 nucleotides) under uncultured bacterium. RNAcentral describes it as "partial 16S ribosomal RNA". It matches the Rfam family "Bacterial small subunit ribosomal RNA", at positions 30 to 507 of the family's 1533-position model. The record is from RNAcentral.
AUUGAACGCUGGCGGCAGGCCUAACACAUGCAAGUCGAACGGUAACAGGAAGACGCUUGCUUCUUUGCUGACGAGUGGCGGACGGGUGAGUAAUGUCUGGGAAACUGCCUGAUGGAGGGGGAUAACUACUGGAAACGGUAGCUAAUACCGCAUAACGUCGCAAGACCAAAGAGGGGGACCUUCGGGCCUCUUGCCAUCGGAUGUGCCCAGAUGGGAUUAGCUAGUAGGUGGGGUAACGGCUCACCUAGGCGACGAUCCCUAGCUGGUCUGAGAGGAUGACCAGCCACACUGGAACUGAGACACGGUCCAGACUCCUACGGGAGGCAGCAGUGGGGAAUAUUGCACAAUGGGCGCAAGCCUGAUGCGGCCAUGCCGCGUGUAUGAAGAAGGCCUUCGGGUUGUAAAGUACUUUCAGCGGGGAGGAAGGGAGUAAAGUUAAUACCUUUGCUCAUUGACGUUACCCGCAGAAGAAGCACCGGCUAACUCCGUG